GGCUCAGUGAUUACAUGCCUGAUUUAUGGGCAAUAUACGCUAUUCCGAUUGAAUACAUGAGCAGAGGAUUUUUGAGAAUGAAUGAGAGCU
Small nucleolar RNA from Rhododendron vialii, 90 nucleotides. RefSeq annotates it as small nucleolar RNA U54. The record is from RefSeq and is a predicted model, not a curated record. NCBI's taxonomy places the organism in Eukaryota, Viridiplantae, Streptophyta, Magnoliopsida, Ericales, Ericaceae. The transcript has a single exon.